AUACGAAAGGUGCAAGCGUUGUUCGGAUUUACUGGGCGUAAAGAGAGUGUAGGUGGUUUAUUAAGUCGGAUGUGAAAUCCCGGGGCUCAACCUCGGAACUGCAUUCGAUACUGAUAGGCUAGAGUUUGGGAGGGGUAAGCGGAAUUCCGUGUGUAGCAGUGAAAUGCGUAGAUAUACGGAGGAACACCUGGGGCGAAGGCGGCUUACUGGACCAAUACUGACACUGAGACUCGAAAGCGUGGGUAGCAAACAGGAUUAGAUACCCCAGUAGUCC
RNAcentral lists this ribosomal RNA (274 nucleotides) under uncultured bacterium. RNAcentral describes it as "partial 16S ribosomal RNA". It matches the Rfam family "Bacterial small subunit ribosomal RNA", at positions 523 to 796 of the family's 1533-position model. The record is from RNAcentral.